CCAGCAGCCGCGGUAAUUCCAGCUCCAAUAGCGUAUAUUAAAGUUGUUUCAGUUAAAAAGCUCGUAGUUGAACUUCUGGCGGGGGGCAAGUUCGGCUUUGGUCGGCUUGAACUCCGUCAUCCGAUUGCAAACUAUAUUCGUUAUUCAGUUAACGGUAUAGGGAGCAAUCAUUUUACUUUGAAAAAAUUAGAGUGUUUCAGGCAGGCAAUCGCCCGAAUACAUUAGCAUGGAAUAAUGGAAGAGGACUUUUGUUCAUUUGGUUGGCUAUUGAACAAGAGUAAUGAUUAAUAGGGACAGUUGGGGGCAUUAGUAUUUAAUUGUCAGAGGUGAAAUUCUUGGAUUUA
This 344-nucleotide ribosomal RNA is filed under the name uncultured eukaryote. RNAcentral's name for it is "SSU rRNA". It matches the Rfam family "Eukaryotic small subunit ribosomal RNA", at positions 567 to 928 of the family's 1831-position model. The record is from RNAcentral.